AUAGCAAUAUGUCAGCGGCAGACGGGUGAGUAACGCGUGGGAACAUACCUUUUGGUUCGGAACAACACAGGGAAACUUGUGCUAAUACCGGAUAAGCCCUUACGGGGAAAGAUUUAUCGCCGAAAGAUUGGCCCGCGUCUGAUUAGCUAGUUGGUGAGGUAACGGCUCACCAAGGCGACGAUCAGUAGCUGGUCUGAGAGGAUGAUCAGCCACAUUGGGACUGAGACACGGCCCAAACUCCUACGGGAGGCAGCAGUGGGGAAUAUUGGACAAUGGGCGCAAGCCUGAUCCAGCCAUGCCGCGUGAGUGAUGAAGGCCCUAGGGUUGUAAAGCUCUUUUGUGCGGGAAGAUAAUGACGGUACCGCAAGAAUAAGCCCCGGCUAACUUCGUGCCAGCAGCCGCGGUAAUACGAAGGGGGCUAGCGUUGCUCGGAAUCACUGGGCGUAAAGGGUGCGUAGGCGGGUCUUUAAGUCAGGGGUGAAAUCCUGGAGCUCAACUCCAGAACUGCCUUUGAUACUGAGGAUCUUGAGUUCGGGAGAGGUGAGUGGAACUGCGAGUGUAGAGGUGAAAUUCGUAGAUAUUCGCAAGAACACCAGUGGCGAAGGCGGCCUCACUGGCCCGAUACUGACGCUGAGC
RNAcentral lists this ribosomal RNA (636 nucleotides) under Bradyrhizobium sp. RNAcentral describes it as "bacterial SSU rRNA". It matches the Rfam family "Bacterial small subunit ribosomal RNA", at positions 81 to 752 of the family's 1533-position model. The record is from RNAcentral. Lineage: Bacteria; Pseudomonadati; Pseudomonadota; Alphaproteobacteria; Hyphomicrobiales; Nitrobacteraceae.